RNAcentral lists this transfer RNA (71 nucleotides) under Stereum hirsutum FP-91666 SS1. Its description in RNAcentral is "tRNA-Glu (CTC) (tRNA-Glu-CTC-3-1)". It matches the Rfam family "tRNA". From Rfam's summary of the family: Transfer RNA (tRNA) molecules are approximately 80 nucleotides in length. The record is from RNAcentral. Lineage: Eukaryota; Fungi; Basidiomycota; Agaricomycetes; Russulales; Stereaceae.
CCUCCAGUAGCUCAGUCGGAAGAGCAGAUAGUUCUCACCUAUCGACGCUGGUUCGAGUCCAGCCCGGGGGA